Molecule: long non-coding RNA, 997 nt
Filed under: Phasianus colchicus (ring-necked pheasant)
Lineage: Eukaryota; Metazoa; Chordata; Aves; Galliformes; Phasianidae
Description: lncRNA (ENSPCLG00000009494.1)
Source: RNAcentral
CUGAUUCUAUGAUUCAGUGCUGUUGUUUGUUUGUUUGUUUGUUUGCCAUGUCUUCUACAGGACAGAAGCUCAGAUGUGAUUUGCAGAGCUAUCAAAUGAGAACAAAAGAGAUGCACGCAUUCUGAGUGAUGUGGAAGAAAAUAUUCCACAGCUAGAGGAGCUGGUCUGAGGCUGUGAACACGUGUAUGACAGAUCACCUGAAAGACCACAGUCCAAGAAGGUCAGAAAAUCACCCUAGAGCCCUGCUAGGGAACAGCACUUUGCACAUGGUUACAACGUAGACCAGAGAAUGAGGGAUCCAAACAGUUCAUCUCCAUUCCAGCCAGCUGGCUGGGACAUUUCAGCCCCUCUGAAACUCAGCUCACAGCCUCAUAAAACGGUGAUGGCAAUCCUACCUGCCUGCAACACUGGGUCCCCUGCUCUACCCUGAAGGAAAGCAUCUUCCAAGCUGAGCUGAGGUUUUGCCAGCCUUAUGUGACAGAUGAUCCCCACUUCUUCAGCAAGUGUGUUUUCAGCAGUUAGUCACAGUCUGAGGCUCUGCAAGCUGCUUAUUUUCAGGUAGAAAAGAAGAUGGGAAGGGGCUGGGGUGGGGAAUGCUGUUUGUGAGCUGUAGGUGGAGGGUUGGUUCUCAAUCCCUGUUUCCAAGAAGGGUCUGCAGAGAACUGCUUCAGGCUUGAAGGCAACCAGAGACCCUGAAACUGCAUGAGAGACCAUGAGAGGUUUACAGAAACUGGGAGUGAUUGUGUCAGUACCACAGCAACAGCACCAUAUUGUGUGCUUGUAAAAUCUCUGUAUUAAUAACUGAAGUGAGCCUUAGACUGCUCUGUGCUCCUUACAGUCCAGUCUGUGUUUCUUCAGCCUAACAUGAACUCAGAACUUUUCUGCAUCUGCUUAUUCCUUGUCUCCCUCCGUCCUCUUUCCCCUGACCCAUCCAGAGCAGGGCUGUGUUCAGUGUCUCCUUGUUUGGUGAUGGAGGUGGAUGGAUGCUGUGUCCCAU